CGCCGAACUGGGCAAGCUGUUCGAGGCCGGGGCGCUGGCGCCGCUCCCGGUGCGCUCGUGGGACGUGCGCCGUGCGUGCGACGCGUUCCGGUAC
Molecule: transfer RNA, 94 nt
Filed under: Streptomyces mutabilis
Lineage: Bacteria; Bacillati; Actinomycetota; Actinomycetes; Kitasatosporales; Streptomycetaceae
Description: tRNA-Ala
Source: RNAcentral